GAAUAUUGGACAAUGGGGGCAACCCUGAUCCAGCCAUUUCGCGUGUGUGAUGAAGGCCUUCGGGUUGUAAAGCACUUUUGGCAGGAAAGAAAUCGCGCGGGCUAAUAUCCUGCGUGGAUGACGGUACCUGCAGAAUAAGCACCGGCUAACUACGUGCCAGCAGCCGCGGUAAUACGUAGGGUGCAAGCGGUAAUCGGAAUUACUGGGCGUAAAGGGUGCGCAGGCGGUUCGGAAAGAAGGAUGUGAAAUCCCAGGGCUCAACCUUGGAAUGGCAUUCUUAACUACCGGGCUAGAGUGUGUCAGAGGGGGGUGGAAUUCCGCGUGUAGCAGUGAAAUGCGUAGAGAUGCGGAGGAACACCGAUGGCGAAGGCAGCCCCCUGGGAUAACACUGACGCUCAGGCACGAAAGCGUGGGUAGCAAACA
Molecule: ribosomal RNA, 423 nt
Filed under: uncultured bacterium
Lineage: Bacteria
Description: partial 16S ribosomal RNA
Rfam family: Bacterial small subunit ribosomal RNA
Source: RNAcentral